RNAcentral lists this ribosomal RNA (253 nucleotides) under uncultured bacterium. RNAcentral describes it as "partial 16S ribosomal RNA". It matches the Rfam family "Bacterial small subunit ribosomal RNA", at positions 524 to 776 of the family's 1533-position model. The record is from RNAcentral.
UACGUAGGUGGCAAGCGUUGUCCGGAUUUAUUGGGUUUAAAGGGUGCGUAGGCGGUCCUAUAAGUCAGUUGUGAAAUACGGCAGCUUAACUGUCGAGGUGCAAUUGAUACUGCAGGACUUGAGUACAGACGAGGUAGGCGGAAUUGACGGUGUAGCGGUGAAAUGCGUAGAUAUCUGGAGGAACACCGGUGGCGAAGGCGGCAUCCUGGACCGAUACUGACGCUGAGGAGCGAAAGCCAGGGGAGCAAACGGG